CUACUAUCUACUACCCGUGUAAGAUAUUUUAUCUGGAGUAGCUAUGAAUUGUAAGGAAUACAAUUGGGUGCUAUGUGUACCUAUGUGAAGCGCAGAAGUAUUUGAUUAUAUACAAUUUCCUGGAUUUAUAUGAGAGUAAUGCAUAAUAGAGAGCAAAAGAGGGUUUUCUUGCCAAAAGUAUCUGUGUGAAUUUUCCUUCGAAAAUGUUCUUUUAAAAUCCUUUGUAUGAUCAAAGCCACUCCACACAGACAAUUAAAAGCAGAUAUGAAAUGAUAGAUCACAUGACAGGAGUUAAAUGUAAAGGUUUUUUUUUUCCUCCUCCCUCGGUUAAACAUCGCAGCAGGCAUUACAAUACCAGAGGUAACGAAUCAAUUAAAUCCAUUUUCCCCUCGGCGUCUCCAAAGCUGCGUGCCUAGUGUUGCUGUGUAGUUUAGAACCGGAGCAGUAGGACCCAGGGGCCUCCGCAGCCACCAAUAGAAGCGCACACUUGGACCUAUUUGUAUGCAAUGCCUUCUGCUCUGCGCAUUAAUAGUAAUACAGAUAACGGGUUUGAAAGAAUUCUCUACCGAAGAAGGAUUGAAUUUUUCCAGGGUGCUGAUACCGAGAAGAAACCCGACUUCACUCUCUCCCCAUUUUCCCACUCUUAGGUUGAAAAGUCUCAGACACCUUUCGCUUGGUUUAAACUCGGAAAGGUCUCAGUGCACAGCAAAGUUGGAGGGGCUGCGUCUGCACUACGGCGCCGCUAGAUCGCUGAAAACAGGCUUAUCCAAGGACUAAACAGAGGGAAGAGAAUGAUCACAGCAACACACUCUAAAAGCAGGGACAUUCUGGAGGUGACUACUUCACUUGCUGUAUACUUUGAUGGUUGUUAAUUCCAGGAAUGGCCAGCCAAAGAGGUUUGCUAAACAACUGUUGUGUUUCUCUAAUUUUCUCUCAUUCUUGUGUUCUCUUGCUCUCUUUUCUCCUUACCACUCUACACUUCUCCCUCUCAACUUGUGUCAAGACAGACCAGCUUCAUAUUUAACUUCUGUUCGACCAAACCCAUGUUCAGGCAUUUUUUAUUCUAUUUUUGUGAUCAGUCUAAGAUAAAUGUAACUCAUCAGAGGCAACACUUAUUAGAACAGUGAUGUUAUUGAUGUGUACUUCCAUCUUACAUUUCUUGAGUGAUGAUAUUGUUCAGAAAGAUGUGUCUGUAACUGAAUUCACUUUAGCUAGGAUGACCAGACAUCAUGCGUCCCACUAAUUUUCAUCAGAAUGAUGAAAUGAACAAUAUGAUUGAAGGUCAAGUGGGCCUAGAAUUCAUCUGCCUGAUCUGGUGUAAGCACAGCAUUUUGAAAAUUGCUUUUGUUUGAAAAUUGCUUUCUUUCUGUCUUGGUGUACAUGAGUACACUUUUAAGGAAUCAUCUUCUUGAAUUUGAACAUUCAUUUGGAAAAAUAAUGCAUGAUGUAGACAGUUUUAAUUUUAGCCAUAAAAUAAGAAAAAAAUAAAAUUCGGAUAGACUGUAUUUCAUUACUUUUCAUUAGAUCAUCUUUUUAAAAUGUCUUUAUUAUUUAAAUAAUUCUAUUAAUAUAGGAAUGCAAUCUUUUUUUAAGCAAGUCAGAAAACUAAUUCUGCCUGAGGCAAUCCUGUAAUUAAAGUGAAAGGAGAUAAUAAUCUCCAUUUUUCUGUCUUUACAUUUGCCUUUAUGUUAGCAAUACUAAUAAACCUCACAUGUUUAGGGUGAAAAAUUGAUUUGAGCCUUUCUGCAUUUACUGCUGUGUUUUUUCUCCCGCCCCCUACCCCUAAGGAUUUGUAAGUUUAAUUUGCCAUCGAUUCUUUAAUGAUUAUGGUAGCUACACUAGAGAAACUAGUGUUUAUCUUCAUCAUGCCCUGUGGAUAGAACAUUAGGUUUAUUUUUAUAUGUAGCUGCUUUUUCGUCAUUUUGAUAACAUGGUCUAGCCAGCAGUUGACAGCCAUCUUACUGUUUUAUUGAUUUUAUAUUUUAAUCA
This 1989-nucleotide long non-coding RNA is filed under the name Macaca fascicularis (crab-eating macaque). Its description in RNAcentral is "lncRNA (ENSMFAG00000048569.1)". Lineage: Eukaryota; Metazoa; Chordata; Mammalia; Primates; Cercopithecidae. The record is from RNAcentral.